This 2865-nucleotide ribosomal RNA is filed under the name Stenotrophomonas maltophilia. RNAcentral's name for it is "bacterial LSU rRNA". It matches the Rfam family "Bacterial large subunit ribosomal RNA". The record is from RNAcentral. Lineage: Bacteria; Pseudomonadati; Pseudomonadota; Gammaproteobacteria; Lysobacterales; Lysobacteraceae.
AGCGCACACGGUGGAUGCCUUGGCGGUCAGAGGCGAUGAAGGACGUGGCAGCCUGCGAAAAGUAUCGGGGAGCUGGCAACAAGCUUUGAUCCGGUAAUGUCCGAAUGGGGAAACCCACCCGCUUGCGGGUAUCCUGCAGUGAAUACAUAGCUGCUGGAAGCGAACCUGGUGAACUGAAAUAUCUAAGUAACCAGAGGAAAAGAAAUCAACCGAGAUUCCGUAAGUAGCGACGAGCGAACGCGGACUAGCCCUUAAGCUGGAUUGGUUCUAGGAAAACGCUCUGGAAAGAGCGGCCAUAGAAGGUGAUAGCCCUGUAUCUGAAAGGGCCAUUCCAGUGAAGACGAGUAGGGCGGGGCACGUGAAACCCUGUCUGAACAUGGGGGGACCAUCCUCCAAGGCUAAAUACUACUGACCGACCGAUAGUGAACCAGUACCGUGAGGGAAAGGCGAAAAGAACCCCGGAGAGGGGAGUGAAAUAGAACCUGAAACCGUGUGCGUACAAGCAGUAGGAGCUCCGCAAGGAGUGACUGCGUACCUUUUGUAUAAUGGGUCAGCGACUUACUGUUCGUGGCAAGCUUAACCGUAUAGGGGAGGCGAAGGGAAACCGAGUCUGAUAAGGGCGCAUAGUCGCGGGCAGUAGACCCGAAACCGGGUGAUCUAGUCAUGCCCAGGGUGAAGGUGCGGUAACACGCACUGGAGGCCCGAACCCACUCCCGUUGCAAAGGUAGGGGAUGAGGUGUGAUUAGGAGUGAAAAGCUAAUCGAACCCGGAGAUAGCUGGUUCUCCUCGAAAGCUAUUUAGGUAGCGCCUCAUAUGUAUCCUCUCGGGGGUAGAGCACUGUUAUGGCUAGGGGGUCAUCGCGACUUACCAAACCAUUGCAAACUCCGAAUACCGAGACGGACUGUAUGGGAGACACACGGCGGGUGCUAACGUCCGUCGUGAAAAGGGAAACAACCCAGACCCACAGCUAAGGUCCCAAAUUCACUGCUAAGUGGAAAACCAUGUGGAAAGGCACAGACAGCCAGGAGGUUGGCUUAGAAGCAGCCACCCUUUAAAGAAAGCGUAAUAGCUCACUGGUCGAGUCGGUCUGCGGGGAAGAUUUAACGGGGCUAAGCAGUGAACCGAAGCUUGGGGUGCAUAACUUUGUUAUGCGCGGUAGAGGAGCGUUCCGUAAGCCGUUGAAGGUGGAUUGAGAAGUCUGCUGGAGGUAUCGGAAGUGCGAAUGCUGACAUGAGUAACGAUAAUGCGGGUGAAAAACCCGCACGCCGAAAGCCCAAGGUUUCCUUGCGCAACGUUAAUCGGCGCAGGGUGAGUCGGCCCCUAAGGCGAGGACGAAAGUCGUAGUCGAUGGGAAGCAGGUUAAUAUUCCUGCACCUCGCGUAAGUGCGAUGGAGGGACGGAGAAGGUUAGGUGUACCAGGCGUUGGUUGUCCUGGGGAAAGGCGGUAGGUUUGGAUCUUUGGCAAAUCCGGGAUCCUUUAAGACCGAGCACCGAGACGAGCCUUUAUGGCGAAGUCACUGAUACCACGCUUCCAGGAAAAGCUCCUAAGCUUCAGCUUACGCAGACCGUACCGUAAACCGACACAGGUGGGUAGGAUGAGAAUUCUCAGGCGCUUGAGAGAACUCGGGUGAAGGAACUAGGCAACAUGGCACCGUAACUUCGGGAGAAGGUGCACCCUUUUUGGUGGCUCGUGCGAGCUAUAGCUGAAGAGGGUCGCAGUAACCAGGCCGCUGCGACUGUUUAUCAAAAACACAGCACUCUGCAAACACGAAAGUGGACGUAUAGGGUGUGACGCCUGCCCGGUGCUGGAAGGUUAAUUGAUGGGGUCAGCCGCAAGGCGAAGCUCUUGAUCGAAGCCCCAGUAAACGGCGGCCGUAACUAUAACGGUCCUAAGGUAGCGAAAUUCCUUGUCGGGUAAGUUCCGACCUGCACGAAUGGCGUAACGACAGCGGCGCUGUCUCCACCCGAGACUCAGUGAAAUUGAAAUCGCUGUGAAGAUGCAGCGUUCCCGUGGCAAGACGGAAAGACCCCGUGAACCUUUACUAUAGCUUUACACUGAACGUUGAGUUCGUCUGUGUAGGAUAGGUGGGAGGCUAUGAAACUGUGGCGCUAGCUGCAGUGGAGCCAUCCUUGAAAUACCACCCUGUCGUGCUUGACGUUCUAACCUGGGCCCAUUAUCUGGGUCGGGGACCGUGUAUGGUGGGUAGUUUGACUGGGGCGGUCUCCUCCUAAAGAGUAACGGAGGAGCUCGAAGGUACGCUCAGCGCGGUCGGACAUCGCGCACUGUGUGCAAAGGCAUAAGCGUGCUUGACUGCAAGAUCGACGGAUCAAGCAGGUAGGAAACUAGGACUUAGUGAUCCGGUGGUUCUGUAUGGAAGGGCCAUCGCUCAACGGAUAAAAGGUACUCCGGGGAUAACAGGCUGAUACCGCCCAAGAGUUCAUAUCGACGGCGGUGUUUGGCACCUCGAUGUCGGCUCAUCACAUCCUGGGGCUGUAGUCGGUCCCAAGGGUAUGGCUGUUCGCCAUUUAAAGUGGUACGCGAGCUGGGUUCAGAACGUCGUGAGACAGUUCGGUCCCUAUCUGCCAUGGGCGUUGGAGAUUUGAGAGGGGCUGCUCCUAGUACGAGAGGACCGGAGUGGACGAACCUCUGGUGUUCCGGUUGUCACGCCAGUGGCAUUGCCGGGUAGCUAUGUUCGGAAGCGAUAACCGCUGAAAGCAUCUAAGCGGGAAGCGCGCCUCAAGAUGAGAUCUCCCGGGGCACAAGCCCCCUGAAGGAACCAUGUAGACUACGUGGUUGAUAGGUCAGGUGUGUAAGUACAGCAAUGUAUUGAGCUAACUGAUACUAAUGAUCCGUGCGGCUUGACC